Non-coding RNA from Equus caballus (horse), 6032 nucleotides. The record is from RefSeq and is a predicted model, not a curated record. Lineage: Eukaryota; Metazoa; Chordata; Mammalia; Perissodactyla; Equidae.
UAUCUUUUUCUUUUAAUAUUAUAGGUAUUUUAAUGCUAUUAUAUUUGUAAACAUUUUAAUGACUGAGGAGCGGUCCCUUGAGCAGAUUCAUUAUUAUUACUGAUCCAUUGUUCUCCUGGUGGUGGGAGUUCAGAUCAUUUCCAGUAUCAGGUAUUGUUUAGACCUUUGCUUCCUUUGGAAGUUGGUUGAUAGGGCGGGUCCUGGGUGGGUCUGGGUUUGCAUCUCCUUCCUCCUUCUCCCAGCCUUUGAGAUGACCACGAGGGCUAGAGGGUGUUGUUGGCUCAGGCUGUUAGUACACAGUGUUGGAAAAACUCCCCAUUUCUUGGCCAGAAUGGAUGUCUUAGUCCCCCAGGGACCCUCACUUUAGUGCAGUGGAAGGAAUCUAUGCAUGCAUGGCAAAGAGGAAACCUGGCUUCCAGUCCUGGCUCUGCGAGUUGGCUGCUGUGUGACACUGGGUGUGUGUCCUCACCUCUGUGACCCCAGUUUUCCCUCAUUUGGGAGAAUGACUGACUAGUCUGUGGACCCUUCCAGCUCUUCUGCUCUUUAGAUUGAUCUCAUCUAUAACCUGCCUAGGGAUGAAGAGCUAUCAUGGUUCUCUCCUCUCAUUCUGAAUUGUCAGGCUAGCUUCUCUUCCUGGGGAUGUCCUGUGGCUCAGCUCAGGGGCUAAGAUCCCUCCCACCUCCCUGCCUUCUCCCAGGCUGUUUCUUUCCUCCACCUGCGUUGCCUUUCUGCCCAAUUCAAAGAUGAUGAUUGUGCAGGGCCCAGCUCAGGGGGCCCAUUUUCCUUUCCCUUCUCCUGUUCAGUACAAAAUGCAGCCCAGAUGUUCCCUCCUUGAAGAAUCUCCUCUAACUGUGUGGCCUGCUGCAACUCAGCGUCGUCCUGACCUCUGCAGUAGCACUUACCAUGCCCCAACUGAGGGUGAGUUCCUGGAGGCACACGCCACGCCCCCCUCAUCUACAGCAAGGUGCCUGGCACUCGGUGGGUGUCGUGACUGUGUUGAAUAAGGGAUCAAAGUGCACCACCCCGAGCGAGCUGGCUGUGCUCUGACGAGUCUGGAGCUGGAAGAAUAAGCACAAGCCACCCUUCCUCAAUUCAAAAACAGGAAAGCGACUUCUGGAGGUUUCUUUGUCUCCCUUGUGGAGCAGGAUACACAUUUUUAGUGCUGAGUGUUCCAAGCUGAAGAGCUUUACCUUCUUGGAGCUAUCCAUUUCCAGCACCUCUUUAAAUACUAAUGAGAGUCUCUCCCUGGGGGUAUCUGGCAGAUUCAGCUUCACUCUGAAUAAUUUCCAUCCUCUUUGUGCGGAGAGGCAGGUUUGCAGUGGGGGUGUUACCUGGAUGCUCUGAAGUCCUCUGAUCGACACUCAAAGGUGUCUCAUUUCACUACUUUCCACUUGCUUUCUUUGCAGGGCUGGCCCUCUCACUGUGACAAAAGGCUGCUCCUGGUGCACCUCCCUUCCAGGAAUGGAGGUAGAAAGAAAACCGAAUAGCAUUGACUCAUUUAAUCUCCAUGACCACCUUUUCAGGCAAUCCGCAGGGGUUUACCUACUGCAUUAUGGCUCUCAGCGGAGAGAAAGAAGAGCACUGGCUUUGAGUCCUGGCCCUGUCACUUUCCAACAGUGUGAUCCGGGAUAAGGUGGCAUCUCAGUGUCAGAAUAAUCGCUGUUGAUUUCAUCGCUCAUGUGUUUUAUAAAUUCAUGUGAAACUUCCCUCAGUUCUUUAACAAAUCCAUGAUCUGCGUUGGUCCUACCACCUCAGGGAGUUAUUGGAAAGACUCGCAUGGGGUGACGUAAGUGAAGAGACUUUGCAAAUGGCAAAAUAGUAUAUUCUCAUAAAUUCAUAUAGUCCCCGCCUGCCCCCUUCUGCCACCCCCACACCCCUGGGUCUUGCAGAGUCCAGGGUCUCCCACGGUGAGUGCGCGGUGAAGAUCCAUGAGUUGGCUUCCUGGUUCCUUGUCUAAAAACUGGGAAGAGGGCAGAAGAUGAAAGUGAAGUAUUAAUUCUUUUUUGUUGCUGUCAACUCGCAUCAUCGUUUCUUUCUAGGACAAACAGGAGUAAGUAUAACACAUAAAAUUUUCUUUAAAAUUUGCUUUGAGAAAAAAUAAUCCUGGAAUUUCCUUGUUUCUGAUAAGGAGUCAUUACUCAGGGUGUCAGGAGUUUGCCCUGUUCCUGCAGCCUGGGCCACAGGCGUGAAGCGGAGGUUGCUGCUGCUCCCUCACCCCCGCCCCUAUUCAGUAAUCCUGGCAGUGAGUCCCUGCGGGGAGCCCAGGACUGGCAGGUGUGGCUCACCCCACAUUUUGUCUGUUGUCUCCCCCCAGUAAGGCUCCUGUACCCUGAAAUCUUUUCAAGUACCCCUCAAGGGCAGGAUUCCUGCCCAGCACGGACCCUUCUCGAGCUUGGAUUUAAAUGCCAAAGCUAAAGCAAUCUCCUUUAAAGGAAUACUUUUCUGUUUGGAAACUCACCCCUCAGGAUAACUUUAUAGGGAAAAAAAUCCAUAAGGGAAAUUUUACUUAGUCAUUCUUUUUACAUGAAUAAUGGAGCAAGUAUACCCUUAAAAAUGUGCUGUUGGCAUUUCUGUUUGUUUUUCUAAGUGCAGUUAAUUAAACCCUGGUGAUUCCAGCGGGCUGUCUGGACAACAGAGAGUUAUCAUCUCCUCCAGAAAGUCUCCCCUGAUUGCCCAGGCAGUUAGGAGCUUCUUCCUUUCUGUCCUGCCACCCCCCAUAACCCGUGUGUUCUCUUCCCUCACAGGACCCAUUAUGUUAGUACUAUUAAUCUACUUGUCUGCUUCCUGUACUGAAUGCCAGCUGCCCGUGGGCAAGAAUUGUGGUUUUUAUCAUCUUCAGCCUCACUACCUAUAGGGUUCACUAAAUCCUCGCACCUGGACUUCCCUAUAGUGGGCUCCUGGCACAUCCCUGUCCCUGAACUCAGCUGAGCUCCAGGUGUCCUCCGCCCUCUGCCCUGGAGGCUCAGCUAUUCCCAGAUAGGUCCUCCCUGCCAUAGGCACAGUCUCUCCAGUCCCCAAAUCUAGCUAGGCCCAUGGCUGCUGAUUCCUUCUGGCCUUGCCCAGGCCCAACAGUAGGGUUGUCCAGGGACGAGAUCCCAGAACCCUGGCUAUGGGCUGCUGUUUGUCAGCCUGACUCCACAAAGAAACGGCAUCAAGCCGAGAAGGUGAUGAAUGGCUCCUGAAAGCAAAGGAAAUUGGGUUUUGGGACAAGUCAUUUAUUUCCCCCAAUCCCUCUGUCUCCACAGCCAUGAAUAAAUAAAUAAAUAAAACCCACUCAUUCUUUCAACCAAUUAAAGAAACAGCAAAAAGCUCAAGAGUAAUGUGGGAAAACAAAAUGUGUGUGGUUCCUCCCUGUAGAUACUCUGAGCAGGAAACACGAGUGUUGAUUCCUGAUGAGCUGUGACUCUCAGGGAUUGUCCGGGCAGUGAUAUCUGGUCUCCCAAAGUGUCCUAGUCACGGCCCUUCCCUGGAUAUAGACCUCUUCGCCUCAGAGGGCAGAACCUCAUCCACAGACCUUCUGGUUCUAUCCUCACUGCUACCCUGAGGGCCAGGCCACCCCCAUCCCCCUCCCAGACCACAGCAUCUGCCUUCUCAUGGGUCUCUCGCUUCCGCUUGUGACUCUCCCACCCGUCAUCCACUUGGCAGCCAGAGCGACCUUUUAAAAAAUAUAAAUUAGAUCACAUCACCCUCAGCCACACAUCCUGUGUUCUGCUCCUUGAUGGUGCAAGUUCUUUCUCACUCAAGAACUUUCUGCUCAUGUUCUUCCGCUCCCCUCUCUUCACUGGACUCACUUCUUUGCCUCCUCAGGCUUAGAGCCAAACAUUAAUUCUUUAGGGAGACAUUUUCUGCCUUUCCUGUCUAAGUGUUGUCCUUCCCAUUAUGUGCUCUCAUCGUACCCUCUGCUUUUCCUUCAUGGCAUGUAUUACAAUUUGUAAUUAUAUAUUCACUUGUUUGCUCUUUUAUUCUCUGACAUACUGUAAGCUCCAUGAGGACAGGGCAAUGUCUAUCUGGUUAAUAGUUAUAUGUCUAGUACCAUGCCUAGUACAUAGAGGUGCUCAUCAAAUAUUUGUUGAAAUGGAAGAAUCUGCGAUAACCUGCUUUCAAUGUGGUGACAUAAGAGGGCAGGAGCUGGAGCUUAUAUGCCAUGAGUGAAAGAGUUGAGAGAAAGCCCGGAUACAUACCUAUCUUUAUCUGCUAAUUUACAUAGGGCCAAGGACUGGGAAUAAGAUGUAAGUCCUAUCCACCUUGGAGUUUAGAUAUAAAGAAACAUGGUUGGUGGGGCUGGCCCCAUGGCCUUGUAGUUAAGUUUGGUGUGCUCUACUUUAGUGACCCAGGUUCAUUUCCUAGGCACGGACUUGUACCACUCACUGGCAGCCAUUUUGUGGUAGUGAGCCACAUACAAAAUAGAGGAAGAUUGGCACAGAUGUUAGCUCAGGGUGAAUCUCCCUCAAGCAAGAAGAGGAAGAUUGACAACAGAUGUUAACUCAGGGCAAAUUUUCCUCAGCAAAAAAAAAAAAGAAGAAGAAGAAAUAUGCUUGAUAGACAGGAAUCAAUUCCAUGGAGGCCAAAUCAGAAGCAGGAACAAUAGGAUUAGUGAGAAAGAAAUCACUCAAAGAUAGAGUUUCUCAACAUCAGCACUAUUGACAUUUUUCGGGUGGGUAAUUCUUUGAUGUGGAGGGUUUUUUUAUGCAUUACAGGAUGUUUUGUAGCAUCUCUGGCCUCUACCCACUUAAUUCUAUUAGCAGACCUCAUUUCCAGUUGUGACAACAAAAAAACGUCUUCAGAUGUGGCCAAAUGUACCCUGGGGAGGGGGUGCAAAGUUGCCCCAGUUGAGAACAACUGCCUCAAGAGAAGAAAUGACGCAGUGAACAGAUCCCAAGAAAGACCUGAAUUCCAGAAAGGAGAGCUGGUUCUGAGGCGUGGAGGUAGCUGCUGUCGGCACUCACCCUAUUCCAUCCACUCCGUUGGCUUGUGUAAAUCCUGGAAGACUGGAGUGCAGGCGUCCAGGAGAAGGAAGCAGUUCUCUGUAUCCUGACAUGGAAAGAUCUCUAAGACAUCUUGGAAAAGAAAAAAAAUCAUAUUCAGCAAUUCCACCCUAGGUGUGCACCCAGAAGAAAGGUGUGGACCCAUGCACCAAGAGAUACGCACAAGAAUGUUCAUAGCAACAUUAAAUAGCAGAAGAAAACGUUGUUUCCACCUAACUCAAAACUCCAGUGUGGAGCCAUCCACGCCAUGGUUGCGUCAUCUUCCAGGGUGAGAAUAUCCUGUAGGGAGUUGACAAACUGGCCCAUCCUCCCUGAGAGAAAGUUCUACCAGAAUCAGCAGUGGGGAGCCGUGUGUUGGAGGAGGUCAUCGAGAAGACGUGACUCCCAGUUGAACCGUGAGCUGGACCCAGGGCAAUCAAAGGCUGCUUACCCCUGUUUUUGGAAUAUGGAGUAUCAAGAACUAGAUUUAUCCUCCCACUUGAAACAACCGAAAAACUGGAUAAAAUAUGUGAAACAAUGGCUUUCAAGGUCUGAGAAUCAAAGAACAGUGAUCCCUGAGAGAUGGGAAACAAAUGAGGUUAGUUGACUCACUACCCCAACCAUCUACAACUAGAUUAAAAUACUUCUGCAUCGCUAUGGAAAAGAGAUCCCCACUGGAAAACAACAGCGUAUAAAUGAGCAGUCAUGCACUAUAAUCAGGACAACACGCAAAACAGUAAACAUAGAUGCAGCUUCUGGAAGCAAGAAAUACAUGACAGGAGGAGCGGGGAGGGAUGAUGAGAAUUAGUGGAGAGGAACCUACCGACAGCUGACUUCUAUGCGAGAAAGACAACAGCAAUAGCAAAAUACAAAAAUGAAGACAAAUAAUGGCCACACUGAAGUUCCUACAGGCCUUGUGUUGGGUUUUUAAUAUUCAUCUUUAUUCAUUUUAGGCUGAAUGUACACAUGAGGCAUUCUGUAUCAGAGACACGUUCCUGAUUAAAUGCUACACAGUAAAUAAGUGUGCUGGCGUCCUCUUUGCCCUCGUCCUGGCCCUUGAGAUGAGAA